RNAcentral lists this ribosomal RNA (195 nucleotides) under Triticum aestivum (bread wheat). Its description in RNAcentral is "partial small subunit ribosomal RNA". Lineage: Eukaryota; Viridiplantae; Streptophyta; Magnoliopsida; Poales; Poaceae. The record is from RNAcentral.
AUGGGAUUUCAGCUAGGCAUCCACCGUGCAGGGCAUCUUUUUUCCAUUGAUCAUUAUUCUAUUUAUUCUGACCUCCGUACUUCGAUCGAGAUAUUGGACAUAGAAUGCCACUCUUUAAAAAGGAAAAAAGGUGCUUGCUCAGGUAGCAUGACGGGAUGCAGAGGCUUUGAACGGAGCCCUGGUGGGAGGAGAUGA